Molecule: small RNA, 29 nt
Filed under: Bombyx mori (domestic silkworm)
Lineage: Eukaryota; Metazoa; Arthropoda; Insecta; Lepidoptera; Bombycidae
Description: ovarian small RNA-25878
Source: RNAcentral
UCAUAAGUAUUUUUGCUGAAUACAAUCGC